This 1360-nucleotide ribosomal RNA is filed under the name uncultured bacterium. Its description in RNAcentral is "16S ribosomal RNA". It matches the Rfam family "Bacterial small subunit ribosomal RNA", at positions 28 to 1379 of the family's 1533-position model. The record is from RNAcentral.
AUUGAACGCUGGCGGCAGGCUUAACACAUGCAAGUCGAGCGGUAGCACAAGAGAGCUUGCUCUCUGGGUGACGAGCGGCGGACGGGUGAGUAAUGUCUGGGAAACUGCCUGAUGGAGGGGGAUAACUACUGGAAACGGUAGCUAAUACCGCAUAACGUCGCAAGACCAAAGAGGGGGACCUUCGGGCCUCUUGCCAUCAGAUGUGCCCAGAUGGGAUUAGCUAGUAGGUGGGGUAAUGGCUCACCUAGGCGACGAUCCCUAGCUGGUCUGAGAGGAUGACCAGCCACACUGGAACUGAGACACGGUCCAGACUCCUACGGGAGGCAGCAGUGGGGAAUAUUGCACAAUGGGCGCAAGCCUGAUGCAGCCAUGCCGCGUGUGUGAAGAAGGCCUUCGGGUUGUAAAGCACUUUCAGCGAGGAGGAAGGUGGUGAACUUAAUACGUUCAUCAAUUGACGUUACUCGCAGAAGAAGCACCGGCUAACUCCGUGCCAGCAGCCGCGGUAAUACGGAAGGUGCAAGCGUUAAUCGGAAUUACUGGGCGUAAAGCGCACGCAGGCGGUUUGUUAGUCAGAUGUGAAAUCCCCGGGCUCAACCUGGGAACUGCAUUUGAAACUGGCAAGCUAGAGUCUCGUAGAGGGGGGUAGAAUUCCAGGUGUAGCGGUGAAAUGCGUAGAGAUCUGGAGGAAUACCGGUGGCGAAGGCGGCCCCCUGGACGAAGACUGACGCUCAGGUGCGAAAGCGUGGGGAGCAAACAGGAUUAGAUACCCUGGUAGUCCACGCUGUAAACGAUGUCGAUUUGGAGGUUGUGCCCUUGAGGCGUGGCUUCCGGAGCUAACGCGUUAAAUCGACCGCCUGGGGAGUACGGCCGCAAGGUUAAAACUCAAAUGAAUUGACGGGGGCCCGCACAAGCGGUGGAGCAUGUGGCUUAAUUCGAUGCAACGCGAAGAACCUUACCUACUCUUGACAUCCAGAGAACUUUCCAGAGAUGGAUUGGUGCCUUCGGGAACUCUGAGACAGGUGCUGCAUGGCUGUCGUCAGCUCGUGUUGUGAAAUGUUGGGUUAAGUCCCGCAACGAGCGCAACCCUUAUCCCUUGUUGCCAGCGGUUCGGCCGGGAACUCAAAGGAGACUGCCAGUGAUAAACUGGAGGAAGGUGGGGAUGACGUCAAGUCAUCAUGGCCCUUACGAGUAGGGCUACACACGUGCUACAAUGGCAUAUACAAAGAGAAGCGACCUCGCGAGAGCAAGCGGACCUCAUAAAGUAUGUCGUAGUCCGGAUUGGAGUCUGCAACUCGACUCCAUGAAGUCGGAAUCGCUAGUAAUCGUAGAUCAGAAUGCUACGGUGAAUACGUUCCCGGGC